GUAUUGGAAUGAUGGGAAUUUAAACCUCUUCCAGAGUAUCAAUUGGAGGGCAAGUCUGGUGCCAGCAGCCGCGGUAAUUCCAGCUCCAAUAGCGUAUAUUAAACUUGUUGCAGUUAAAAAGCUCGUAGUUGAAUUUCUGCUGUAUCGUUUUCCUCUGCUUGACAGUUGGAUUUCGUUAUGGCUUAGUUGGGUUACAGUUUCUGUUACCUGACGUUUACUUUGAGAAAAUUAUAGUGCUUCAAGCAGGCUUUUGCCUUGAAUACUUUAGCAUGGAAUAAUAGAGUAGGACUUUGGUUCUAUUUUGUUGGUUUUAGGAGCCAGAGUAAUGGUUAAUAGGAACAGUUGGGGGCAUUCGUAUUUGACUGUCAGAGGUGAAAUUCUUA
This 383-nucleotide ribosomal RNA is filed under the name Theileria equi. RNAcentral describes it as "SSU rRNA". It matches the Rfam family "Eukaryotic small subunit ribosomal RNA", at positions 506 to 922 of the family's 1831-position model. Lineage: Eukaryota; Apicomplexa; Aconoidasida; Piroplasmida; Theileriidae. The record is from RNAcentral.